UACGUAUGGUGCAAGCGUUAUCCGGAUUUACUGGGUGUAAAGGGAGCGCAGGCGGCACGGCAAGCCUGAUGUGAAAGCCCGCGGCCCAACCGCGGGACUGCAUUGGGAACUACCGGGCUGGAGUGCCGGAGAGGUAGGCGGAAUUCCUAGUGUAGCGGUGAAAUGCGUAGAUAUCAGGAGGAACACCGGCGGCGAAGGCGGCUUACUGGACUGUAACUGACGUUGAGGCUCGAAGGCGUGGGGAGCAAACAGG
Molecule: ribosomal RNA, 253 nt
Filed under: uncultured Eubacteriales bacterium
Lineage: Bacteria; Bacillati; Bacillota; Clostridia; Eubacteriales
Description: uncultured Clostridiales bacterium partial 16S ribosomal RNA
Rfam family: Bacterial small subunit ribosomal RNA
Source: RNAcentral